UGACCUGAUGAAGCAAAUUUUACAGACCUGUUCCGAGCACAAUCGUGCGGACAACCACUUAUUGCCUUUUUUCUGAUA
RNAcentral lists this small nucleolar RNA (78 nucleotides) under Linnemannia hyalina. RNAcentral describes it as "Mortierella hyalina Small nucleolar RNA snR56". It matches the Rfam family "Small nucleolar RNA snR56". The record is from Rfam by way of RNAcentral. RNAcentral also lists the same sequence under 4 other names. Lineage: Eukaryota; Fungi; Mortierellomycota; Mortierellomycetes; Mortierellales; Mortierellaceae.